GGUCUCAUGGCGUUACACGCACAGGGAACCUCCAUUCCACUCCCUUCUGACGGCCGCCUAGUGGUAACCCUACUCCUCCCCUCCCUCCUCUUCACCACCAAGGCACCAACAGGGGGCGGAGAUCCAACAAGCGACGGUGGCGGCGCUCCAAGCUCUGCAGGAAUAGGAUUAAGGGUACAUGAGAAGAAUUCGUCAAACACGCUCUCCGCCUGAUGUAAAUACUACUUCUAGGCAAGCUUCUGGAUGACAUCGGUUCAUGAUUCAACAAGCAUACCAAGCUUCUAAAAGACCCAGAAGUUCGCGUCCAAGCUUGACGACCAGGUGGACAUGUCAUAGGUGCAGAUGGGCUUGGUCAAGCCGUGAAAUCAACUUCAUUUAUGGACCGACGUAAAGCAUGCCGUUUGACACGGUCGGCCUCGCGAACCAACCUACACAUGCUGUUUGACACCGUUGGCCUCGCCGUACUCAGCCAGGUUGCCAUGGAAAGGCGUCACGCGUCAGGAGUUCCAUAUGAACUGCUUGACUGUGAGUGUGGGCAUUGGUACCUCAGAGAAGGGCUCCACUCUUUCAGAGCUAAGUAUUUUUUACCUACAAAAAGAUCCAUGUCUGCACUACUAUAUAUUUGGUUUAACUCAUAUUGCAAGUAUGCAUCUAUAUAUGUUCCCAAACGAGUGAACCCCUUCCAAUGUCAAGAUUACGCAUGUCUUUCACAUUGCCGCUUCCCAUUGCCCAUUGGUAUCUGCCUCGGAUGGCUUCACCAUUGCCAAAGCUAUUGUAGUCGUGCACAACAUACUUCACUCAACUCUUCGUAGCUUUUUGGAAUUUUAAUGAAAACCGAUGUCACUAUUUGAGCAUUGAGAGCAAUGUUUUAAAUAGCGGGCUAUGGAAAAUAGCGACGGGCCUGUAAAUCAGUUAUAGCGGAGCUAUAGCGGGCUAAAGCGGACUAUUUGUGAAGGCGACCAUUUAGCGGCACCUUGCUGAAAAGGCUAUAGCGGGCUAUAGCGGAGCUAUAGCCGGCUAUUUAAAACUAUGAUUAGAGAGUGAUGUUAUUUUCUUCCUAUGUUGUACAAGCCAGAAACGUUUGGUGAAAGGAAACACCAUCAUGGUCUUUUAUAGAGCUACAAAUGAAUCUUUACCAAUGUUUUUCUGUAGGCAAUUGUUUGCUCUGCUUGAAACUGUAAGGUCAGUAUUUUGAUUUGUUUUUUUCUUCUUAACUGCAGAUUUGUCACGAACUAUUACAUACAUAGAUUGUGUUACUGCUAAUUUCUCUGACAUUUUAAUAAAUAAAAAUAAAAAUAAUGAUUAUCUGAAAGUGCCUUUAAUUAAUUAAAAACUUCUCCUUCAAUGCGAUAUACAAAACUUCAUCUGAACCAUCAUUGCUAUCAUGAUUCAGAGUUUUGCUACACAUUCAGGGUACUGAGAACGCUCUAAUUGCUAGGCAUGUUGUGUAACUGUAAUAAUUAUCAAUAAUAAGGUCUUACAUAUUUUGUACUGUUAAGGUCCUUCGAUCGGUAUAUUGUGCGUCAAAGGUCCUGUUCAUCUGUAACAAAUUCUGCUUCAGCCUCAGUCGUAUGUGUUCUUCAAUCUAUUUUCAUGUUGUUUUCUCGGGCCUUAGUGUUUUGAUUCUUGAGCGUUUGACAAAUGCUUCACAAAUGAAGCUCAUAUUAACAAUUUCAGAGGUGUAGGUUGGUCUGCAGCUCAUGUGGGCGGAGGAGAAGCAUGCUUCAGUCUGUCCCACAGAAGUUGUUGCCGCCAUCCUCGCUGCCACCGUCGGAGACGAAACUUGGUGGUUGCACCGAUUCAGGAAUCACACGGAUGAAUGGAAUCCAACAGAACCAAUGGAAAUUGAAGAGGAGCAGACACAGGAAGCAAAGAAGGGGGGAAAGGAGAAGUUGCUCAAGAAGAAGUUGGAGGGUCAUGAUCAUACACAUAAAAAAUAUGUGAUGGAUACAUGGAGUUUUGCGGAUAACCUAAAUUACUGUGCCUUUUUCCAACUUUUUGUUUGAAUUAAUAUGCAGUACAACCAUUGCCAAAGUAUACCGAUCAACAGAUCAGCUUCUAAAUCAUUCGUCCAAUUUUGAUUCUCUAUGACCGGUUCAGUUAGAUGACGACUUACAUAUUUUACAUAUAAAUGGGCUGACCAUUCAUCUUUUGCACCUC
Molecule: RNA transcript, 2160 nt
Organism: Triticum aestivum (bread wheat)
Lineage: Eukaryota; Viridiplantae; Streptophyta; Magnoliopsida; Poales; Poaceae
Exons: 9
Source: RefSeq, a predicted model, not a curated record